CGACACCGGAGAGGGAGCCUGAGAAACGGCUACCACAUCCAAGGAUGGCAGCAGGCGCGCAAAUUACCCAAUCCCAACACGGGGAGGUAGUGACAAUAAAUAACAAUACGGAAUUCUUUUGGAUUUCGUAAUUGGAAUGAGUACAAUUUAAAUCUCUUAACGAGGAACAAUUGGAGGGCAAGUCUGGUGCCAGCAGCCGCGGUAAUUCCAGCUCCAAUAGCGUAUAUUAAAGUUGUUGCAGUUAAAAAGCUCGUAGUUGAAUUUCGGGAUCAAUUUGCUGGUCGGAACCUCUGGUACGUACUGGUAUUAUUGAUUUCUUUCAUUCUGAUAGAUCAUGGAUGUCAUUAAUUUGAUGACUUUGAGGAAUCGGAACUUUUACUUUGAAAAAAUUAGAGUGUUUAAAGCAGGCUUAUCAGGCUUGAAUACAUUAGCAUGGAAUAAUGAAAUAGGACGAUUGAUCCCAUUUUUGUUGGUUUCUAGGAUUGACGUAAUGAUUAAUAGGGAUAGUUGGGGGCAUUAGUAUUCAAUUGUCAGAGGUGAAAUUCUUGGAUUUAUUGAAGACUAACUACUGCGAAAGCAUUUGCCAAGGAUGUUUUCAUUAAUCAAGAACGAAAGUUAGGGGAUCGAAGACGAUCAGAUACCGUCGUAGUCUUAACCAUAACUAUGCCGACUAGGAUCGGAUGAUGUUAAUUUUUUUUAAUGACUCAUUCGGCGCUUACGGAACA
This 725-nucleotide ribosomal RNA is filed under the name uncultured Glomeromycotina. Its description in RNAcentral is "bacterial SSU rRNA". It matches the Rfam family "Eukaryotic small subunit ribosomal RNA", at positions 378 to 1097 of the family's 1831-position model. The record is from RNAcentral. Lineage: Eukaryota; Fungi; Glomeromycota.